RNAcentral lists this ribosomal RNA (587 nucleotides) under uncultured bacterium. RNAcentral's name for it is "partial 16S ribosomal RNA". It matches the Rfam family "Bacterial small subunit ribosomal RNA", at positions 355 to 1375 of the family's 1533-position model. The record is from RNAcentral.
UGGGGAAUUUUGGACAAUGGGCGAAAGCCUGAUCCAGCAAUGCCGCGUGUGUGAAGAAGGCCUUCGGGUUGUAAAGCACUUUUGUCCGGAAAGAAAUCCUUGGCUCUAAUACAGUCGGGGGAUGACGGUACCGGAAGAAUAAGCACCGGCUAACUACGUGCCAGCAGCCGCGGUAAUACGUAGGGUGCAAGCGUUAAUCGGAAUUACUGGGCGUAAAGCGUGCGCAGGCGGUUUGCUAAGACCGAUGUGAAAUCCCCGGGCUCAACCUGGGAACUGCAUUGGUGACUGGCAGGCUAGAGUAUGGCAGAGGGGGGUAGAAUUCCACGUGUAGCAGUGAAAUGCGUAGAGAUGUGGAGGAAUACCGAUGGCGAAGGCAGCCCCCUGGGCCAAAUACUGACGCUCAUGCACGAAAGCGUGGGAGCAAACAGGAUUAGAUACCCUGGUAGUCCACGCCCUAAAACGAUGUCAGCUAGUUGUUGGGGGAUUCAUUUCCUUAGUAACGUAGCUAACGCGUGAAGUUGACCGCCUGGGGAGUACGGUCGCAAGAUUAAAACUUAAAGGAAUUGACGGGGUCAUAGCUGUUUCCU